RNAcentral lists this long non-coding RNA (1851 nucleotides) under Anas zonorhyncha (Eastern spot-billed duck). RNAcentral describes it as "lncRNA (ENSAZOG00000014154.1)". Lineage: Eukaryota; Metazoa; Chordata; Aves; Anseriformes; Anatidae. The record is from RNAcentral.
CACUCCUUCCCCUCCAUGUGAGGUCCCCCAUUUUCAAAGCCUGGCUCUCAGCAGCCAGCCCUGCCUGCUUGUAAAAAGGCCUUGAAUAGAAAUAAAGUGACAGGUGAACAUCUCCUGUUCAGAUGGGAGGGUUGGGGUUCAGUAAUGAAUGCCUGGGUUUGUCCUGGGAUGCAGUGGCUGGGAGGGAGCAGCGGUGCUGGGAUGCUGUGAGCCAGCUGCGAUUAGAUGUGCUAUCAUUUCCUGGAGGUAUAUAUUGCAGAUAAAAUGUGUCUGUCUAUGUUGAGUUGCUCCUUGUUGUUAUGGCCCUGAAGUAGUGCUGUAUCCCUAUGUAUUACCAAACUUGGAGCAUUUCACCUAUAAUAGCAAAUUCUUAGUCCUGAGUGCCCCGUUGCUAUUUGCACGGUCACUCCAGGCUCUCCACCCACAGCCUCUCGUGGCAUCUCACCUCUGACCAGCGCAUCCCUGCUCCCCUUGGUGACUUUAUGCUCUGCUGUCAGAGGAAGCCCUGCCCUAAGUCUGGGUCUCGGCUCCUUAAAGCCCCUCAUAACUAAGCGUGAGUUUUUUGCCCGAGUGCCCCGGAGCUGGUUCAGCUAGGAGGAGUCAAAUAUCUUUUGCAAAUAGCCCAAUGCUGUGGCUGUUAAAAUCCAGAAGUCUUGACUCAAAAAAAAAAAAAAAGAAAAAAAAAGAAAAAAAAAAGGCAUUUAACCUGUUGUUGCCUUUAUCAGCUGCUCUGGAGGGAAAAUCAGGUUGCAGCAGAGUCAGGUGCUUGGCAAAGGUUCCCCUCCUGUCCAUGCUCCAGCUCCAACAUCAGCAGCUUUCUGUCGGUCUGGUCCCUACUAGCCAUGCAUAGCUUCACGUACCGCUGGCUAUUAAUUGCAGAGCAAAUUAACCUUCCUCAGACCAUAUGUUGCUGCUGUAAACUGCUUGAAGAAAUCUCCUUGCCAUUUCCAGACUGGAGACCUUUUGUUUUCAUUCAGCGAAGUACCAGUUCUGUAAGAGACAGCUUUCUCCACUCAGCAUCUUUGGGACACCCAUCGAUCAACGACAGGGAAUUGAAGCCCCCAGUUCCCAGCCACUCUGAAGCAGGUGCUCAAACCCAUCACCUGAGCAGAGCUGAGUUUGGCCUCCUGAUGGGAGGAGAUGGGACUGAGAGCUCAACAAUGUCUCUGAAAACUGAAGCUGCUGAAUGGAGGGUGGCUGAGAGUGAUGUUCCUGAAAGGGCAGCACCACAGCCCCUUGGUGGAGAAGCUUGCACAUCANNNNNNNNNNCACCUAUAAUAGCAAGUUCUUAGACCCGAGUGCCCCGUUACUGUUUGUACAGUCACUCCAGACUCUCCACCCACAGCCUCUUGUGGCAUCCCACCUCUGACCAGCGCAUCCCUGCUCCCCUUGGUGACUUUGUGCUCUGCUGCCAGAGGAAGCCCUGCCCUAAGUUUGGGUCUCAGCUCCUUAAAGCCCCUCAUAACUAAGGGUCAGUUAUUUGCCCGAGUGCCCCGGAGCUGGUUCAGCUAGGAGGAGUCAAAUAUCUUUUGCAAAUAGCCCAAUUCUGUGGCUGUUAAAAUCCAGAAGUCUUGCCUCAAAAAAAAAAAAAAAAAAAAAAGGCAUUUAACCUGUUGUUGCCUUUAUCAGCUGCUCUGGAGGGAAAAUCAGGUUGCAGCAGUCAGGUGCUUGGCAAAGGUUCCCCUCCUGUCCAUGCUCCAGCUCCAACAUCAGCAGCUUUCUGUCGGUCUGGUCCCUACUAGCCAUGCAUAGCUUCACGUACCGCUGGCUAUUAAUUGCAGAGCAAAUUAACCUUCCUCAGACCAUAUGUUGCUGCUGUAAAGUAUGCAAAUAUGUUGUUAGUGACUGUAA